RNAcentral lists this ribosomal RNA (390 nucleotides) under uncultured bacterium. RNAcentral's name for it is "bacterial SSU rRNA". It matches the Rfam family "Bacterial small subunit ribosomal RNA", at positions 28 to 418 of the family's 1533-position model. The record is from RNAcentral.
GACGAACGCUGGCGGCGUGCUUAACACAUGCAAGUCGAGCGGUAAGGCCCUUUCGGGGGUACGACGAGCGGCGAACGGGUGAGUAACACGUGGGUGACCUGCCCUCAGCUCUGGGAUAAGCCUGGGAAACCGGGUCUAAUACCGGAUAUGACUCCAUGACGCAUGUUGUGGGGUGGAAAGCCUUGUGCGGCUGAGGAUGGGCCCGCGGCCUAUCAGCUUGUUGGUGGGGUGAUGGCCUACCAAGGCGACGACGGGUAGCCGGCCUGAGAGGGCGACCGGCCACACUGGGACUGAGACACGGCCCAGACUCCUACGGGAGGCAGCAGUGGGGAAUCUUGCGCAAUGGGCGAAAGCCUGACGCAGCGACGCCGCGUGAGGGAUGACGGCCUU